UAUCGCAACUGACCGUGUUCUUCACGUACAGAGCACAGCAGCGUGCUCUGCCGAUUCUCAAUGCGUCGGGCACAUUUCAUUGAGCCUGCUGAAAUAUAUUUGGAUAAAACUUUACCAUAAUAUGCGACAGUUGGAGCGGCGAAACCAAGCGGAUACAUGACACGAAGAAAACGGGGGACAACAAAUUCUGACUAUGUUUAGGCUAGCAGAGAACGCUUAGCUGCCUCUGAUGGACGGCCGCCACUGCGGGCAGUAAUGGAAGAGCUCCUGGCCGUUGUUCGACGCCUGCGUCUCCCUUGCGUUCUCACGCACGUCCGUGCACGUGCGUCAAAACCAUGCAGCAAUGGAGCGCCAUUUGCCGUGGGCCAUUUGGAAGCUCUGGAGACGUUUUAAACGUUGGAGACGCCGACGGAGACAGCGGUGGCAGCCGGUGGCGGAAGUUGCUGUGCUUGGUCGUCCACCUAGACCUCCACCUAGACGUCGGCGGCCUCGCUUUGACCCACCUACUUCCCACGUUGAGGAAGUUGUCCCCCCCACCUCUGACAUUCAGGCUCUCCUGUUCCUUCUGGCUCUUUUGCUCCUUCUCUUUCUCCUCCAGGCUCUCCUGUUCCUUCUGGCUCUUUUGCACUUUCUCUUUCUCCUCCAGGCUCUCCUGUUCCUUCUGGCUCUUUUGCUCCUUCUCUUUCUCCUCCAGGCUCUCCCCUUCCUUCUGGCUCUUUUGCUCCUUCUCUUUCUCCUCCAGGCUCUCCCCUUCCUCCUUCUUCUUCUUCUUUCCUUCCACACCCCCUCCUCCUUAUUCUCUUGUUCCUUCUUGCACUCCUGCUCCUUCGCUUUCUCCUCCAGGCUCUCCUGUUUCUUCUUCUUUUCCACCUUCACCUCCUCCUCCUUCCCCUCUGGUUCCACCUAUUGUGGCUCUUUCUGAGCUGCCCUGUGUUCCGGAUGCUGGCCUGUCCCUGUCUCCUGUUAUUCAGGACUCAGGCUCUGUAGUGCACGGGACCAGCGAGGACGGGACCAGCGAGGACGGGACCAGCGAGGACGGGACCAGCGAGGACGGGACCAGCGAGGACGGGACCAGCGAGGACGGGACCAGCGAGGACGUACCGGAUGGGGGGGACGAGGAGGCUCCAAGCAGCAGCACGUCACUAAGGAGAGCGAUAGGUCAGUUCAGUCACAGUGGCACCAGUGGCACCAGGGACACAUGUCAUCUCCCACGGAAGCUCCUCAGUGGCAGAGCAGGAUGGACUGCAGUGCCACGUGUUAUGGAGCGGACACAUGGCUGUGUGCUGUUCUAGUCAUGCUCCACACCACAGGGAGCAGUGCCACUGAUACUGAUGUACUGACCAGUGUGUCUGUCAGUCCAGUGGACAAAGUUUUCUAAGGAGAAGGGGAUGAGGGCACCAGGAGAUGAGGAGAAGGAGAUUAAGUUAAAACAAAAAGCGCACGCUGCAGAAGGUGACACCAUGGAAACGAGACAAGGAUCUGGACCAAGCUGGCCUAAGCUGUCAGAACGAUCGCAGGAACCACAGGUGCAGCUGUGGAGGCUGGAGAACUGUGGCAACUGAGACGACGAUAGGACCGCAUAGGGCGAUAGGAGACGUUAUCGCCCGUGUCUGUGGAGGCUCAAUGCUCUUCCUGCAGCUCUUUGCUCCCUCCAGCCUCCGGUCCAGACAGAGGGGAGCCUCCCAGUCCUAAGCACGUAGAGGAAGUGCCUUUGUCACUGCUUUCUCUGUGCUGCUGGGUUUGGGAGACUCUUCACAUAAUCAGCGGUGUUGGCCUCCAUCUCUAAAAAGAAGACGGUCAAGACGAGUCAUUGUCAUCAAUAAUUUGAAAGAAAUUGUAAUAAAUACGUUCCAUGUAAAACAUCA
Molecule: RNA transcript, 1865 nt
Organism: Betta splendens (Siamese fighting fish)
Lineage: Eukaryota; Metazoa; Chordata; Actinopteri; Anabantiformes; Osphronemidae
Exons: 11
Source: RefSeq, a predicted model, not a curated record